AUGAGGUUAUUGUGAAUGGGAUGGGAAGUUGAGAUCCACAGAAAAGUCAAACUCCAAAGUAAGAGAUUUCCAAGGUAAAUGUCGAUGUUCCUUCCUGAAAUGAGAGCUGCAACAUUUAACUUAUAGAUUUUUUUUUUUUAGUAAACCAGACAACAUGAACCACUCCAUGGCUUUUGCUCAGUGUAAAGUCCCAUGACACGGCCCAUGGAACCACAUCAGAGUCUUUCUACUAUUUAACCCUGUUGGAGUCAUUUCUUCGGACUGUUGUAAGUGUAAAUAAAUCAUCCAUUUUCAGCCUGACCUUUAGGACGUCUCUCGGCUUCUUGACCACUCCGGCAUUUCUCCCACUGUUCCAGGUGAGCCAUCAACACAGGGCCCAAGACACCCCUCCUAUUAUCCCCUCAAAUAGCCCCAUGCUGUCUUGAAAAAGAUGACCAUUGCCAUUUCUUUAUAGAGGUAACACCAGCACCCCC
This 473-nucleotide long non-coding RNA is filed under the name Cricetulus griseus (Chinese hamster). RNAcentral's name for it is "lncRNA (ENSCGRG00000024132.1)". Lineage: Eukaryota; Metazoa; Chordata; Mammalia; Rodentia; Cricetidae. The record is from RNAcentral.